GGUUAGCAGUUUAUGCAAGUAUAAUAUUCCUAGCCUUUCUAGAUAUUGAGAGGUUGUUGUCUUUCGAACGAUCUGUAAAAAUGAGUUUCACAAAUUAUAUAAAAAAUUGUUGGAAUUGCUAAACACUAACCAAGCUUCAACUUUUCAGCUUAUUUAGCCCCUCACUUGUCUGGUUUAUUCCAUGAGGUUGGCGAUGAAGUUACGCUGACCGCACGAAGACUGCCGAUACCGACAGCCAAAAGUAUUUUCCAGACAGUGUAUGACGAAUAGGAAUGAAUAUUUGGAAGAACCAUGUGUAUAGAUGAGAUCAAUGUGACCUACAUGCGAGUUUGGGUUGAGCGUGAAUACGAAUGUUUUGAUCUUGAAGUAGCAUCGCCAACAUCACUGAGUUAAACAUAUAGGUAAAA
Trichoplusia ni (cabbage looper) is the source of this 407-nucleotide long non-coding RNA. RefSeq lists it as uncharacterized. The record is from RefSeq and is a predicted model, not a curated record. The transcript has 2 exons. Lineage: Eukaryota; Metazoa; Arthropoda; Insecta; Lepidoptera; Noctuidae.